AUGGCUUACAAAUUGCCUCAUGUGAAACUCAGUGAAAGAGUUGUCACCAGUGCGGAAAAAGGAUUAAAUCAGAUGACACUCUCCUCCAGGAAUGACUGCCUUGGUGCUCUCAGAGCUUCGGACAGCUUUUACUGCAUCCCACAGAGUCUGGUAGUUGAUCUCUUCAUUUUCAUUGAUCUCCAAGUCUUAGGUAUCUGUACUCUCCUGUGGCUUGGUGCACUUCCAAGGAAAUACUUACUAUAUUACAUUAAAUUUUCAGCUUUCACAGCAGGAAGAGUAGUCCAUGACGUGAAUACCGCUCUCCAAGAGGUGCUGAAGACCGCCCUCAUUCACGAUGGCCUAGCACACGGCAUUCGUGAAGCUGCCAAAGCCUUAGACAAGCGCCAAGCCCAUCUUUGUGUGCUUGCAUCCAACUGUAAUGAGCCUGUGUAUGUCAAGUUGGUAGAGGCCCUCUGUGCUGAACACCAGAUCAACCUAAUUAAGGUUAAUGACAACAAGAAGCUUGGAGAAUGGGUAGGCCUCUGUAAAACUGACAGAGAGGGCAAACCUUGUAAGGUCGUGGGUUGCAGUUGUGUAGUAGUUGUGUAGGACUAUGGCAAAGAAUCUCAGGCCAAAGAUGUCAUCGAGGAAUACUUCAAAUGCAAGAAAUAAAUAAAUAAA
Erinaceus europaeus (western European hedgehog) is the source of this 660-nucleotide RNA transcript. It is a transcript of the gene named small ribosomal subunit protein eS12-like, with no coding region annotated. The record is from RefSeq and is a predicted model, not a curated record. Lineage: Eukaryota; Metazoa; Chordata; Mammalia; Eulipotyphla; Erinaceidae. The transcript is spliced from 6 exons.